GAUGAAGAACGUAGCGAAAUGCGAUACGUAAUGUGAAUUGCAGAAUUCAGUGAAUCAUCGAAUCUUUGAACGCAUAUUGCGCUCUCUGGUAUUCCGGAGAGCAUGCUUGUUUGAGUAUCAGUAAACACCUCAACUCCCUUUUCUUUUUUGAAAUUGGAGCUGGACUUGAGUGAUCCCAACGCUUUCUUCCAAGAAAGUGGCGGGUUGCUUGAAAUGCAGGUGCAGCUGAACUUUUCUCUGAGCUAUAAGCAUAUCUAUUUAGUCUGCCUAAAAAACAGAUUAUUACCUUUGCUGCAGCUAACAUAAAGGAGACUAGUUCUUGUGCUGACUGAUGCAGGAUUCACAGAGACAGCUUCGGCUGACUUUGUAAACUCGAUCUCAAAUCAAGUAAGACUACCCGCUGAACUUAAUCAUAUCAAUAAGCGGAGGA
RNAcentral lists this unclassified non-coding RNA (430 nucleotides) under soil metagenome. Its description in RNAcentral is "partial contains 5.8S ribosomal RNA, internal transcribed spacer 2, and large subunit ribosomal RNA". The stretch from base 1 to 120 matches the Rfam family "5.8S ribosomal RNA", at positions 35 to 154 of the family's 154-position model. The record is from RNAcentral.